ACCUGGCUGGCUCAGUCAGUUGAGCAUGUGACUCUUGACCUUGGGGUUGUGAGUUCGAGUCCCAUGUUGGGUG
This 73-nucleotide transfer RNA is filed under the name Felis catus (domestic cat). It matches the Rfam family "tRNA". Rfam says of the family: Transfer RNA (tRNA) molecules are approximately 80 nucleotides in length. Their secondary structure includes four short double-helical elements and three loops (D, anti-codon, and T loops). RNAcentral also lists the same sequence under 2 other names. Lineage: Eukaryota; Metazoa; Chordata; Mammalia; Carnivora; Felidae. The record is from Rfam by way of RNAcentral.